CGUCGGCAGCUUUGGCGCGUGGUGCGAGGCGAAGCAACGAGCUGCCGUCGCGUUGUACCAAGCGCUGCGGGUCGGCGACGGCGGCGCGGAUCCGCUGAUCUUGCGUGCGAGAUGUCUAUUUUGGCGACAAACCAGGAGCGCAGCGCGCCAGGUUCCUCAUCUGGCCAUUCCCAUCUAGCGGUUGUUCGAUUUGGGGAGGAACAGAAGCUUAUCAUGCAACUGCAGUCUGCUCAAUGGGAGAGAUGAUGGCCAUUGGCCAACAACUGCUUGGUUUGAUGGGAGCUGAGAAAAAUUAGAUGGGGAGCCGCUAGCUGCAGCCGCUAGCUGCUUGCCUUCUUGCUCGGUGGAAGAAGCAAGGAGCAGACAGAUGUUUUUUAAUGCGGCAGGAAGAAACACCAGCAGCAAAGAGAGGAAGAAGAUGUACAUGAGGCUGGCACGUGGGUCCCGUGUAGCAGAACUAAGUUCUUACGGUAGAACUUAUCAGGUUCUGUUCAGAAAAAAACUUAUUUAAUUACUAUAAUUCAGAAUCUGUUGAGACUCAUGCAAAUUAUUGGAAUAUAUCAUGGGUUCUCUCAUGUAAGCAUAAAAAUGAUUACAAAGAUUAAAUUAUGUACUAGAUCAUCAUGAUUUACAUGUUAAAACAUGAAUUAAAUAUCUUAUAGACUGUCAAAUAGACAGCAAUUGGCUAA
This is a long non-coding RNA of Panicum virgatum (switchgrass), 689 nucleotides long. RefSeq lists it as uncharacterized. The record is from RefSeq and is a predicted model, not a curated record. NCBI's taxonomy places the organism in Eukaryota, Viridiplantae, Streptophyta, Magnoliopsida, Poales, Poaceae. The transcript is spliced from 2 exons.